RNAcentral lists this transfer RNA (63 nucleotides) under Syphrea sp. REN-2018. Its description in RNAcentral is "tRNA-Asn". The record is from RNAcentral. Lineage: Eukaryota; Metazoa; Arthropoda; Insecta; Coleoptera; Chrysomelidae.
UUAAUUGAAACCAAAAUAGAGGUAUAUCACUGUUAAUGAUAAAAAUGGAACUUCCCAAUUAAA